UACGUAGGUGGCAAGCGUUGUCCGGAUUUACUGGGUGUAAAGGGAGCGUAGACGGCUGUGCAAGCCAGAUGUGAAAGCCCGGGGCUCAACCCCGGGACUGCAUUGGAAACUGUCGCGCUCGAGUGUCGGAGAGGUAAGUGGAAUUCCUAGUGUAGCGGUGAAAUGCGUAGAGAUUAGGAAGAACACCAGUGGCGAAGGCGACUUACUGGACUGUAACUGACGCUGAGGCAUGAGAGCAUGGGGAGCAAACAGG
RNAcentral lists this ribosomal RNA (253 nucleotides) under uncultured Lachnospiraceae bacterium. RNAcentral's name for it is "partial 16S ribosomal RNA". It matches the Rfam family "Bacterial small subunit ribosomal RNA", at positions 524 to 776 of the family's 1533-position model. The record is from RNAcentral. Lineage: Bacteria; Bacillati; Bacillota; Clostridia; Lachnospirales; Lachnospiraceae.